GUAGGUGGCAAGCGUUGUCCGGAAUUAUUGGGCGUAAAGCGCGCGCAGGCGGUUCUUUAAGUCUGAUGUGAAAGCCCACGGCUCAACCGUGGAGGGUCAUUGGAAACUGGAGAACUUGAGUACAGAAGAGGAAAGCGGAAUUCCACGUGUAGCGGUGAAAUGCGUAGAGAUGUGGAGGGACACCAGUGGCGAAGGCGGCUUUCUGGUCUGUAACUGACGCUGAGGCGCGAAAGCGUGGGGAGCAAACAGGAUUAGAUACCCUGGUAGUCCACGCCGUAAACGAUGAGUGCUAAGUGUUAGGGGGUUUCCGCCCCCCUUAGUGCUGCAGCUAACGCAUUAAGCACUCCGCCUGGGAGUACGGCCGCAAGGCUG
This 372-nucleotide ribosomal RNA is filed under the name uncultured organism. RNAcentral's name for it is "partial 16S ribosomal RNA". It matches the Rfam family "Bacterial small subunit ribosomal RNA", at positions 527 to 896 of the family's 1533-position model. The record is from RNAcentral.